GCUGAUUUCUGAGGUCCUGGUGG
Molecule: non-coding RNA, 23 nt
Filed under: Arabidopsis thaliana (thale cress)
Lineage: Eukaryota; Viridiplantae; Streptophyta; Magnoliopsida; Brassicales; Brassicaceae
Source: RNAcentral